RNAcentral lists this ribosomal RNA (468 nucleotides) under uncultured bacterium. RNAcentral describes it as "bacterial SSU rRNA". It matches the Rfam family "Bacterial small subunit ribosomal RNA", at positions 8 to 480 of the family's 1533-position model. The record is from RNAcentral.
AGAGUUUGAUCCUGGCUCAGGAUGAACGCUGGCGGCGUGUCUAAGGCAUGCAAGUCGAACGGGUCCGAUUGCGAUUACAUCAAGAUCGGGCUAGUGGCAAACGGGAGCGUAACACAUUGGUAACCUGCCUCGAAGACGUGAAUAACCCCGCGAAAGCGGGACUAAUACACGAUACGGAUGCGAGGGCGCAAGCCAUUCGCAUUGAAAGCCCAAAAGGCGCUUCGAGAGGGACCUAUGGUCUAUCAGCUAGUUGGUGAGGUAACGGCCCACCAAGGCUAUGACGGAUAGCAGGCGUGAGAGCGCGACCUGCCUCAGUGGGACUGAGACACUGCCCACACUCCUACGGGAGGCUGCAGUCAAGAAUAUUCCUCAAUGGACGAAAGUCUGAAGGAGCGACGCCGCGUGCAGGAUGAAGCCCUUCGGGGUGUAAACUGCUUUUCCCAGGGACGAAUUUCGAUGACGGUACCU